This is a long non-coding RNA of Poecile atricapillus (Black-capped chickadee), 560 nucleotides long. RefSeq lists it as uncharacterized. NCBI's taxonomy places the organism in Eukaryota, Metazoa, Chordata, Aves, Passeriformes, Paridae. The transcript has 3 exons. The record is from RefSeq and is a predicted model, not a curated record.
GGGUCCCGGGCCCCCCCCCCGGCUCCGCCUGCGCUUCUCCCCCUCCCCCCCCCGCUGCUGCCCCGGGGGUCGCCCCCGCUGGGGGGGGGAGGGGAGGGGGGGACACGGAGGCGACAACGUCACCGUGGUGGUCCUGGAGAGCGGCCGCGACCCCCCCCCGGGCAGCGGCUUCAGGCUCGUUCUGUGCCCGCUGCUCUGCCGGAACGGGGGGGUCUGCGCCCACCCCCAACGCUGCCUGUGCCCCCCCGAAUUCACCGGGAAAUUUUGUCACCUCCCCUCUGCCAACGUCACCUCCCAAAAUCCACCCGGGAACCCCCAAAAUCCACCCGGGAACCCCCAAAAUCCACCCGGAGACCCCCAAAAUUUUGGGGAGGGGUCUCCCCAAGCCUUGACCCGCUCCGUCUACACCCUCCCCCUGAGCAACCACCGUGAGGAAGAGGAUGGUGCGCAGUCCCUGGUGCAGGUGCUGGUCCGGCACCCCCCGCUCUCCCCGGUCUCCAUCCACAGCGUGGAGCGAGUGCGGGGGGAGGGGCGCGACCCCUCCCCCUCCCCCCCCCUCC